RNAcentral lists this long non-coding RNA (39381 nucleotides) under Ananas comosus (pineapple). Its description in RNAcentral is "long non-coding RNA (ACOM_LNC012681)". Lineage: Eukaryota; Viridiplantae; Streptophyta; Magnoliopsida; Poales; Bromeliaceae. The record is from RNAcentral.
UAAUACAACACAAAUUUAAACAGAUAAGAAGUUGCAAGUGAAAAAUACAGCAUAACAAUGUUUGUCUCAGUCACGAGACAAGAUUAUUGUGAAAUUGUUGAGAUCUCCUAGGUAGAGAAUGAAGAGAUUACAACACUGUUUUUAUUUCAAGAGAGUCACUCAUUGGAAAUCACGACAUUUUAUUUUUUUUUCUCGACAAACACAAUUUCAUAUAAAUUAAUAUGCGGUACUGCUCUCCUUCGAUAGGGCUUCGCACUGGGAUUUCCCUGUGAAAAAGGAGAAAGGUUUGAAUAAAUUGGAACUAAGUACUAAACACUUCGAAAAGCAAUGUGGUAGUAUAUAUACCUCAAUAUAUUUAUUCCAUUUAGCAUCUGUGGCAAUUACUACUUGACGUUGAUGAUCCCAGCUAAACUCUGGAUGAUGCUUGAUGUUGUGCACUAUUCCAUAUUCACGUUCAUAAUAACUGAAGCGAUCAUGUAAAUGUUUGUCUUCAUAUUUCAUGCCUGUUGCUUCAUUGAACUUGGCUACUACAUCACGCCAGGAAUUAUUUUUAAAGUCUAGUAUUUUUCUCCCUCUUGAUUGAAUUUGCUUUACCAAUAAAUCAAGCAGUACUUGAUCAUGCGCUUUUUCCCAUAUUGCUGAAGGCCGACCCGUUAUUUUAAUCUUUUUUCUUCCCAAAAUUUCUUUUGGCCACUGUCUCCUGUAAGUACAAACUAGUAAAUAAAAGGGAUACCACAAUGUAUAAUUUUAAGAAUUUUACUGCCCAUGAAAAAAAAAAACAUUCUAAUCCUAAGGGGAAAAAAAAAUUAUAACCAUUAUCACUGUAUAUCAUAUAACUAUUCAUAUAGCUUUAACUAAUAAUUUUUUUUUUUUUUUUUUUUUUUGACUUUUCAAAUUACGCACGUACCAUGAUAUAUUGACAAGGAUCAGACUAAAACGGAAUGAGCUAUUCCUAUUUUACUUUUGUGGUGUAAUUAAUCAUGACCGUUGAUUCAAGGAACUCACUUCAUUAAUUGGACUUGUAUUGGAAUCGCUUCAUUUAAUAAAAUCCACCCAAAACCAGAGAAAUCAAUUCAAAUCAUGGCCUAGUUAAGAUUCCAAAAAAAAAAAGAAAAAAAGAGAAAAAAAAUCAAUAAAAAAUGAAUUGUAAUUCAAGAAUUAAUAUAGAUACUCUACGUAGAAAAUUAACAGUGGGAAUUUACACAAAGCAACCUAUAUUCCCGCUAUUAACACAUCCAAUUAGAAAUGAAAGAAAAAAAAUUCAAAGGACUGAGAAAAAACAAGCUACUUACUCAUCACUGUCGCUACGGGCUCCCCCUUGUAUGCACUCAAGUUGAAGGAUGGACCCAUUCUGGAUUCCGUAGUGGGCCAAUGAUCUCUCUAUCUCCAUCAGUGGACUGCCAUUGAAAUCAAGAUCAAUAUCCCACAAUCCCGACUGUAGCACCUCAUGAGGAACAAGAGUGAUUAACACAUCCUCGAUGGUGUGGGAUUUUUCCACCUCAAGCACAAAAUUUCCGUAAUUUUCUGACCGCACAAAGAUUUUCAUUUCACCACCGCCGUUGGGUCUCCUGGAAGGGCCGGGGAUUGCAUUUCCCGUCUUGGCUAUUACUUUAGAACUAGCAAAGUUGCACAUGUAAUGGACGUUAGCUUAUUUAAUUGUGGUAUGUAAAUUCAAAUUUAAUAUUUAAUUUGAUAUAUUUGAAUCUAAUCGUUAAUUGCAGUUGAAACUGCAUGAAGAAACCCAACUGUACGUAAUAGUUGAAAGUAUCUCCAAAUUGGCUAUCGUACCAACUGUACCAAUUGUAACAAUUGCAGAUAUUAACCUUUCGCAAGAGGUAAGUUUACCAGAUCUCUAAUCAGUUUUUUAACAGAAAAAUAUUUUUGUUUUCUACAUCUGAGAUAAUUUUACCACUAUAUAAUAAUAAUAAUAAUAAUAAUAAUAAUAAUAAUAAUUUAGAAAAAUAUUUUUCAACUAUAUGCAAGCAAAUAAAUUAUUUAUAACUAUAGCAUUUUCUACUGCAUUAAAUCAAAUACGAUGCGUAUAGUUAUAAUUGCUGCAUUUGAACUGCAUGCGUCCAUCUUUAGCUAUGCUGCAUCUCAUUCAACCAAACAAAAAACACAUUUAAAAGUUACAUGUCACCUUAUUUGAUUCCAAUAUGUAUGUGGUAGGAAACGAAAUGACACUAGAGAUCUGCUAGGAUUCGAUCUCCUAUUCUAACAAUGUGAUUAAUAGUAUAAAGUAAUAAUUUAUAUCUAAGAACUUAAACUGCUAUAUUCAACAAGGAUAAGCACUAGUGAUUUGAGAAAAACAUCGUACCUCAUAACUAAGGAAGAAAGAGAGAGAGAGAGAAACUACUUGGACCUUGUUUCAACUUUGGAAGAUUGGGUGGCUUAAAUAGAAGAAACUAAAACUUUUACCUGUAUAUAUAAAACCUUCCCUAGUUUCCAUUUUACCCCAGUUCUCACCCCCACCCAAAAAAUUCAGAAGGUAACUAAGAGACAAGCGUCAAUUUGCAGUCAAGUUGAAGGUUUCAAAUUUUUUUAUCCUCCAACGACGUGGUGGAAAAUUUUUAAUGAUAUAUGGCGUACGUAGACUAUUGACGACUAGUCACGAAAUUAAUGCAUACUUUAUUUAAAUUGGCGUAGAAAAUGUGUUAAAUUCUUGACUAGAAAAAGAACUACACUGGGACAGCAUCCAAUGUUAAGUAAUGUGAAAUAAUUAAAAAAAAUUUUUAAUUAAAGAGCCAAAGCUGUCGCAGGCCCAAUGCUAUUAGGAUCAUACCCUCGAAUAUUCCAAGGCGUAAUUAGGUUCCUUAAUCUCUUUUGCUUGAAAACUUAAUUGAAGUAAUAAUUAGAAGUUUAGGGACUCAAUUAAAACUCCGAUGAAAACAAAUCAAAUAUCUAGUUGCAAACAAGUGAAACCAUAUUUAAUGUCGAAUAAUGUGAAAAAAAUAUUUUUCUCCAAAAGCGCAAGUUACUAAGAACGAUGUUACUCGUGAAAGGUCAAAUAUCCAAUUGCGAGCCAAUUGCAAUAAUUAGAUGGCUAGCGACGCACCGGAAAAAUAUUAGAGAUCUCCUACGUAAUUUACCUUCAUGUUUAAUCUCCCUCCAGGGAAUUCAUAUACCUGUGCAUAAAAUCCUGCAAAUCAACUAUUCUAUGCGUAGCCUUAUCAUACUGCUGUUGGAAUAAUUAAUGACCACUUUUGGUCUUCUUUAUUUAAUCUGCUUAUUCCAUGAAUGAUAACAUCUCCUAGUCAGCGGUCUUAUCCACAAAGGUCUCAGGGUGUAGCAGUGGAAAGUCAUCUUUGGGCACUAAGGUCUCAAUAAUCAAUGCAGAGACAAAUUUAUCCAGUACAAUGCUCGAAUAGUUUAACACGAAUGAAAAAAAUAAUUUUAAUUAUAAUAAAUGAGACCUACCUAUUAGUAAUAAUAAUUAGACUUAAACAUUUUGCACCGAUAGUUUGGGCCCAAUGAAUUAUUAUUACUAACGGUUCGGAUCAUUUUGAAUCCGUAUGAGUCACCUCUAGAAUCUCAUAUAAAUCUAACGUCAUCUGAUAAUUCUAUUCUAUUUUGUAUCUAUUUUAUUUUGUUUCGAACCGAUAAUUUGAGCCGAAUAAAGUAUUAUUGGUAACGAUUCGGAUCGUUGUGUGUCCAUUCUCCCACUGGGUAUCUCCUGCUGCUGGCUUCCCAAAUUGAGUGGGAUGCGCGGCUGCAUGUGCAACUGAAACCAUGCACCUCUCCUGCCCUUACUUCCCUAUGCCAAAUCCGCCGUCCAUUCGACGGAUAUAUUUGGCCAUAUCCGAACGCUUCUUCGGUGAGCGCGCUCCCGUACGAGUUCGGCACCGCCCCCAUAAAAAAACUACCAUUUGGUGUGAGAAUCUUUGGAAAUACUCGCCGGGUGUAUAGUACAGUAUAUGUAUUUCGAACACCCUACCUAAUUCAUAAAUUUUGAUAUCAAAUAAUCAUGAAUUGAGAUUGGCAAAUUAUAUCUUCAAUAGUUAUAACAUCAAGUUCACAUUCACAUACACAAACAUCAAGUAGGAAAAUUGAAAUAUUAACACGUUAUAUUAUUGUAGAAGAUAACUAUUGCAAGGAGAAGGGACAUUCAAACCUGCCUCACAGUGGUGAAAAAAAUAGUGAGUCAAGUAUUACAAUCCACAACAACUAAGAGAGAGAGAGAGAGAGAGAGAGAGAGAGAGAGAGAGAGAGAGAGAGAUACGGUACAGAAAAAAUAGUGAGAAGAGGGAGUAUAUUAGAGAGGAUGUAGUGAAAAAGAAGAAGCAGAAUAGUCAUGAUGUUUCAAUAAUUUCACAUUGGAUUAAAAAAAAAAUUGCAUACAAAUCUCACAUUAUGUGUAAUUUAAUAAUUGCUCCGACAAGAACGUAGUUUAGGGGACCGGGAGGUCCCUGCCCUCCUCCUCCAUCACCCUUAUCUCUCUCUCCUGCCCAUCCCCACUGUUCCCCCCAUUUUUUUAACUUCCAGUCCACAGUCUUAUCUCUCUCCUACCCAUCCCCACGGUUUCCCCCUUUUUUUUAACUUUCAGCCCACAGUAUGUUAGGAUAAACUCAUAUUCAACUUUUGUAAAUAUAGAUGUCAAAAUUUAGCAUCUAAUAUAUAUAUAUGUAUAUAUAUAUGAGUAAUACUUCAAUACAUCAUAUAGAUGUUGACCAUUUAGUUUUCUUAAUAGAUGGUUUAGAUUUAAUGUGAUUCUAGAGGUGACUUGCUAUUGAAGUAUAGGUACCAUUCACAAGGUACCUAUUUAAAGAGUAUUUUAGUCUUUGUAAAAUAAUUUGGUCUACAAAACCAGUUUUAUUUAACUAAAAAUAUUGUGACCCUCUUAAAUACCUACAACAAUAGUUGAAUUUCAAAUUACAACAAAACUGUAAAUUUAAAUUCAAAACAACAUUUUAAACUUUAUAAAUUAAAUUUAAUUUUUUUAAAUAUAAAACACAGAUUUAAAAUAAAAAUUUUAGUUCCAAUUCAAAAUUUCAAUUUAAAUCAAAAAUUAAAAUUUGGCUUCAAGAUUAAAAGUUCAAUUUAGAUUCAAAUUUAAAAGUUUAGUAUAAAUUUCAAAAUUAAAAUUUUACAUUACAAUACCAAUUUCAAAAAUUAAAUUUAAAUUCAAUAUUUUUUUGAGCUGAAUACUUAACAAAUUAGGUAUCAUCUAAUUUGGUAAGUUAUCAAAAUAAAUAAGAUAUUUAAUAUUUAAAGAAUGCUGACAAAUUUAGUAUAUACUAUUUUUUUUUUCUAAUAUUGUCAUAUUAACUAAUUCAAAUCGGUAACCUGUUCAACUGGUUACUUCAUGUAAAUCCCAACUACACCCUUUACUAAUUAAGAGAUUAAAUUUUAAUAUUUAUGGUGUAUAGAAGCAUUCCUUUAUACACUACAAGAAGUUUAACUUUUAGCAAAAUUUAACUAGUAACAUUUCACUAAGUGACAAAAAUUAUAAUAUUUAGCAAUAUUUAUUUAUUAGUGUUGCUAAAUGUACUUAUUUACCAAUAUUUAGGUGUAAAUGUUGCUAUAUAUAAAUAACACCAACACUAAGAAUUAAAUGUUACAAUGUUUAGCAACACUUUUUUUGAUAAAUGACAAUUAGUUUUUCAAAUUUUGAAAAGCCCUUCAAAAUUUUAAAAUUUCAUCUUUCCCUCCUUUAGUGAUAUUUUUUUCCAUCUCUCUUUCAUUUCUUUGUCUCUUCACUUUAAACUCUCAAGAGAUUUUUUUACUCUCAUGGUUUCUUCUUUUAUUCCUUCAUUCCACAAAGUCUUUCUCACCAAUUUUUUUAUUUUGUAAGAUUGGAGGAAAAAACAUUGGAUCGGACUAUCAAUUUUGUUUCCAGAGAUAAGUAAGUAUCCCUUUCUUGUAAGGUAAAACAAUUUCAUAUUAAUUCCAAAUCAAAAUCAUAGAUUUGAAAUUUUCUUUUCUUUUUUUCUUAACUAAUAAAGUUUAUUAUGACUAGAAUAGGAUUACUCUUCAACCUUUUGGUUCGUCGUUACAUUAAUUUAUUGUAUUAUGUGGUAUGAUAUAUAUGAGGUUUUUGUUUCUUAACUUUCAUCAACCUUUUUUUUUAUAUUUUUUACUUUUAGAUAUUAAAUUUGUUCUUAUUACAUUACUAUCAUUUUAAUUUAAUUUUUUUAUUUUUUUAGAAAAUAUCAUUUAUUUUGAAAAUGUUCGAACAAAUAUAUGAUCUUUUAUAAUUUGAUAAGGGCAAUAUAUUUUAUCUUUUAGUAGUUCAUAGUAUCCUAUAUUUUAUGAUAAAUUUCUUAAAUCUUUUCAUUUUACAUGUUAAGCAAUUAAAUAGAGGCUACAAGAUUGUUUCAUUCAAGCAUUUUGGAGACUUCUACAACAAAUAAGGAUGACUAAUUUUUUAUUUUAUCGUGAUCGAAUUUGUAAUUAUGAGGAAACUCAUUUAGUUUUGUAUCAAAUGUGUUAUUUGAUUUGUAAUAUAUUACAAGUUUUGAUUGUCAUAUGAUAUACAUGAGAUUUUUAGUGUUUAUGGUUGUUGUCCAUUUUGACUAUCAAUGGAGUAAACAACUUGUGAGUACUAUAGAACUAUAGAAUUUCUUAUUAUAGUUAUAAUUAUUUUUUAAAAUAUAUUAGAUUAUUACCGAUUAAUCAUAAAUUUUUUAAAUAAUAAUUAUUUAAUGUUAAUAUAAUAUAUAUUUUUACCAAUAAUUCAAAAUGCUAUUAUACGUAAUUGUUUAGUAAUAUUUGAUUAUUAUUAACUAUGAUUAUAAUAAUUAAUCAAAAAUUAAUAAUAUUUUAAUUUAAUUAAUAUCAAAAUUUAUAAUUAAUAAAAUAUUUUUAUUUAAUUCAAAAAAUAAUAGCUAAAUUAAUACAAGAAUUAAUUAAACAAUAUGCACCACCAUUUAAAAGUUGCCCCAUUAAAUUUUUUUUUUUUUAGCAACUUUUGUUAACUGUUGCUAAUUCUUGAGCAUUAGCAACACUCUCUCCAAAUGUUGCUAAAAGAUUAAACAUCACGGGCAUAGACAACACUAAAAGUUAAGUGUUGCUAAAAGAUUUAGUUACAUUUCUUAUUCAUUUAGCAACAUCUAUAAAUGUCACUAAAUCUAAACUUUCUUGUAGUGAUAUGAGCUAGGCUGGUAUACUAUCGGUAGCACGGAGGCCUCCGUGCUACCAAGUUGUUUUCAAUGAUGCGGCUUCCAAAUUGACGAUCGGCUUCAUUAGACUUGAUAUACACUAUUGAAAGCAUUUGGAAACUAAAUUUUGUAAUUUUUCGAUAUCAUUUGGCUAGUGAUCAAAAGUCUCAAAAUUUAUAAUUUUAAUGGUAAAUUUGAUGCGUUUGUGAAUUCAAUGGUGUAAAACAAUCCAAAUUUGAUGAAAUUUUUAUAGAAAAUUCUUUUCAGUAUUUAGAAUAAGAUCAGUAUCUUUAAUUUUAAAUUCAAGUCUUUUAUAAUCAUUUUUUAUGAGAUUUUUAUUUUCAGCCGUUCAUUUUUAGACUACUUGCUUAAUAGGUAAAUGAUACCGAAAAAUUAUAAAAUUUAGUUUUCAAAUACUUUCAAUAGUGUACAAUUCAAGAUCUACAGAGCCUGAUCGCCGAUUUGGAAGCCGCAUCAUUGAAAACAACUUGGUAGCACGGAGACCUCCGUGCUACGAUAGUAUACCAGCCUAACUCUAUAUUAUAUAUAAUAUAUAUAUAUAUCGUAUAUUAUUUAAAUUAAAAUAUUUAAUUAAAUAUGUUUUCCUUUUUUCAGAAAAUAUUAAUGUUAAUAUAAGUAAUAGAAAAAUAAAAUCUAAUUUAUAUUGAAUCUAAAUAUAUUUUCACCCUACCCACCAAAUAAAAAAAAAAAGCGGAAAACAAGUAUAGCGGCUAAUGAGUGAGCUAAUUAUAGGAACUCUAAGUUGCGGCGUGUUUUCGCGGUUUCAAUAAUUUUUUUAUCCUUCAACUCGGUGAAACGGAAUUUAAAGUGGUGCGCGACUGCGAUUGAUUAGUGCGUGCGCAAAUUAGGCAUACUUUAAGGUAUCGUUUGGUCAGGAUAAGCAAAAAGUGGCUAUUUCAGUGAUAGGUAUAAAUUGAGGUAUAUUGCGUUUGGAUGAAAAUUGGGUUAUUUCUGGUGAAUAAAAAAAUAGCGUUUUGUUAGGUAAGAUGGAAUAAGAAGAUAGUUGGUUUUUAUAAAUAAAAAUAAUGAUAUUAUCUUUAUUUAUAUUUGAAUUUAAUUUUUAAAUUUUUAAUUUUAAAUUUCAACUUUGAAAUUUUAAAAAUUAAAAUUUAAAAUCUCUAUUUUAAAUUCAAAAUUUUAAAUUUUAAAUUUCAAACUUUAAAUUUAAGAUCAAAUUUCAAUUUAAAAAUAUAAUAAUAUCAAAUUUUUAAUUCAAAUUUUUAAAUAUCAAAAAUUAAUUUAAAAUUUAUAAUUAUAUUUAUUUAAUUAUUAACUUUAUUUGAGAGAUUAUAAAUAUAUAUUUUAAAAUUUAAAUUUCAAAAUUUAAAUUUUAAAAUUUUAAAUAAGAAUAGGAGUGGAACAUUAAUAAAAAUAUUAUUAUAAUAAAUUAUAAUUUUUUUAAAAUUCUACUUAAACUUAAAUUUAAUAAAAAUAAUUUAUUAUAAUAUUCAAAUAUAAUUUAUUAUAAAUUUUAUUAUAAUAUUUAAAUAUAAAUAAUAUUUAUUAAUAUAGUACAAUUAAUAAUUGUAUAAUAAAAAUAAUGUAUUAUAAUAUAUAAGAUAUUAUAUUUAUAUAAUUUAGUUUUAAUUCAAUUUAUAAUUUUAAUUAAGUUUGAAAUUAAGCAUUGGAAUAGCAUUAUUCCACCAAAAUGGUGGAAUAGUAAAUCUCUUGUUAUUCCGGGAUAAUCGGGAAUAGCAAGGUUUGACCGGGAUAAAAUAUUCCGGCCAAAUUUCACCCCGUUUGGCGGAAUUGUGGGGAUAACUUUCGUUAUCCCCGCUUAUCCCCCGAACCAAACCGGGCCUAAGAGUUAAUUGCGUUAGAGUUACUUUAACUUUUGUGAUUUAAAAUUUUAUUUUAAUUAGAGGAGGCGCCGGAUACUCAAUAGUGUUACCAUAAUUAUAAAAAACUCCUUGACUGUACCUUCUGCCAGCCGAGGGUCCGGAUCCUCAAGCAAGGUCCGGACCCCCAACCUCAAUUUCGCGAUGUGCCCAGGCAUGAUCCGGACCCUCUCGCAAGGUCCGAACUCCUCAAAUUAAUUUCAGAAUUUUCACAGACAGGGUCCAAACCAUGCGUCAAGAUCCGGACCUUAAUGUUUGAGCUCAUAGAGAAAGAUCAAGAUCCAGGUCCUUAAGUCUAGAUUUGGAUACCGAGAGUACAAUAGCUCAGAAACACUUUUUCUAAAAAUUUUCAUUCCUUGGAUCUCCUAGUGACUUUAAAAAUCUUAGAUCAUACUUAAUAGUAUGAAUUAUUGAUUCAAAAGUUUUAUUAUUGAAAUAAGACUACAAUACAAAAAUUUUUGUGCUGUUAAUAGAACCCGAGCUAAACUUUAUGCUCGAAUCUUCAAAACUUUUGAGAGAAUUCACAUAUUCGAAAUCAGCUCAAAGAAGAAUUUUAAAAAUUCACCCAGUAAACGCAAGAAAUUAAUCAUUUUCUCAUAUGGACAAGCCUCUCUUCAAAUAAUAUCAACUAAAAAACAAACGAAUCCUUCAAAUAAUUAAGCCCCAUCAAAAUAAUUAACAAAUACUAAUUUAACCUGAAAACUUUAUAUAGAAUUUUUGAAGAGUGCCCCUAUAAUGGUGGGUACAAUAUUAUGUGAACUAUGGUAUGUACAAUAUAUUUAUAAUAUGAUUUGAUACAGCGACAUCCAUUUUGACAUAUAUAUAUAUAUAUAUAUAUAUAUAUAUAUAUAUAUAUAUAUAUAUAUAGAUAUAUAUAUANGUAUUUGGAAACUAAAUUUCAUAAUUUUUCGACAUCAUUUGGCUAGUGAUCAAAAGGUUCCAAAAUUAACAAUUUUAAUGGUAGAUAUGAUGCGUUUUUAAGUUCAACGGUGUAGAAGUAUCCAAAUUAGAUAAAAAUUUAAUAGAAAAUUCUACUUAACAUCAAUAGCAAGACCAAUACUUCCGAUUUGAAAUUUGAAUUCUUUAUUACUAUUUUUUAUGAGAUUUUCAUUUUCAGCCGUUUAUUUUUAGACUACUCGUUUGAUUGGUAAAUGACGCCGAAAAAUUAUGAAAUUUAGUUUUCAAAUACUUUCAAUAGUGUAGAUUAAGUCUAACGGAACCGAUCGUCGAUUUAUAAGCCGCAUCAUUGAAAACAACUGGGUAGCACGGAGACAUCCGUACUACCGAUAGUAUACCUGCCUAGCUCUAUAUAUAUAUAUAUAUAUAGAUGGUAGCUAAUAACAUAAUCAUAAAAGGACCAUCGGAUAAAAUCAACCAAAUAGUAUAUUCUAAGAUGAUGCACAGUUGAAUCCAUGAGAAUUGACACUCGAUAUAAUUGAAAUAAUUCUCAUGUACGUUUACUUUGUGUGCAUAAUAGUCGAGUAACACAUUAUUCUUGUCAAAUAAUUGUUUGCUUUAUUACAAUGCAUAUGAAGAGUUUGUAGAUGACAAUGAACAAAAUAUAUAUAUGAAAAUAUAGUAUUGUUGUUCUCCUCCAAAAAGCUCUGCUUCGGGUUCUACCUGCGCGAAUGCCAAAAAAGUUUGAAUCGAUUCAAGCAUCAAAAAUGAUAGUAUUUGAUAAAUAAUAAUAAUAAUAAUAAUAAAAAUAAAAAAUACGGUUAGUAUACCUCGAUAUAUCGAUUCUAUUCAUCAUCUUUAGCAUUUACUACAAGACGUCGAUAAUCCCACCUAUGUAUUGGCUGUUGCUCCAUGUCAUUCACCAUUUCAUAUUCAGUCGUAAUCUUCGACUUCAUAAUUCCAUGUUGUUGUCUUGCUGAAUCUAGCCAAUAUGUUACGCAAAGCAUCCAUUUUAAAACCUUGUCCGGAGAGUCUCUCCCGCCAUCAUGCACAUGUUUUACCAUCAAAUCAAGCAGCGUUUUGGGGUAGUUCUUCACCCAAAUUGCUAAAAGGUUGGUUUCCUCUUUCGAUAGUUCUCCUUUGUAGCACUAUUUUUUGUCAGCUCUCUAUUCGAUCUGCAGGUAAAUUAAAACAACAAUACCCUAGAAAUACUUUUAAAUUAAAAUGACAGAGAAUAAUGAUGAUUGAAAAUAGUAGAAAAUCGUAAUCAUAGAACAUAGUUGUGGACGACGUUUCGAUUGCAUGCACAAUGAUCUCCAUCUCACUGGCAAAGUCAAGUUCCACAACGGAGUCCGGCGGCUCUACACAAUCCAUCUCCACCAACUCUAUAUGGACACAUUGUGUUGUUCAAAUAAUCACAUUCAAUAUAGAAAAUCUAGUGACUUACGAAAUCAUUGAGGGAGCAUUAAUUAUAAGCUUACACUAAUGAUAGAUGCUAACACAAAUACAUAUUUAAAUAGAUGAGAAGUGGCAUGCGAAAGAUAUAGUGUAACAAUGUUUGCCUCGGUCAAGAGGCGAGAUUAUUGUGAGAAUGUUGAGAUCUCAUAGCUAGAGAACGAAGAGAUUACAACACUAUUUUUAUUUCAAGAGAGUCACUCAUUGGAAAUCACAGUAUUUUUUUUUUUCUCAAACACAAUUUCAUAUAAAUUAAUAUUUGGUACUUCUCUCCUUCGAUAGGGCUUCGCACUGGGAUUUCCCUGUGAAAAAGGAGAAAGGUUUGAAUAAAUUGGAACUAAGUACUAAACACUUCGAAAAGCAAUGUGGUAGCAUACCUUAAUAUAUUUAUUCCAUUUAGCAUCUGUGGCAAUUACUACUUGACGUUGAUGAUCCCAGCUAAACUCUGGAUGAUGCUUGAUGUUGCGCACUAUUCCAUAUUCACAUUCAUAAAAAUUGAAGCGAUCAUGCAAUUGUUUGUCUUCGUAUUUCUUGCCUGUUGCUUCAUUGAACUUGACUACAAUAUCAUGCCAGGAGUUAUUUUUAUAGUCUAGUAUUUUUCUCCCUUUUGAUUGAAUUUGCUUUACCAAUAAAUUAAGCAGUACUAGAUAAUGCGCUUUUUCUCAUAUUACUGAAGGCCGAUCCGUGAUUUUAAUCUUUUUUCUUUCCAAAAUUUCUUUUGGCCACUGUCUCCUGUAAGUACAAGCUACUAAAUAAAAGAGAUACCAAGAGAUACCAAGAUGUAUAAUUUUAAGAAUUUUACUGCCCAUGAAAAAAAAAAAAAACAUUCUAAUCCUAAGGGGAAAAAAUAUUAUAACCAUUAUCACUGUAUAUCNUUGAAGCGAUCAUGCAAUUGUUUGUCUUCGUAUUUCUUGCCUGUUGCUUCAUUGAACUUGACUACAAUAUCAUGCCGGGAGUUAUUUUUAUAGUCUAGUAUUUUUCUCCCUUUUGAUUGAAUUUGCUUUACCAAUAAAUUAAGCAGUACUAGAUAAUGCGCUUUUUCCCGUAUUGCUGAAGGCCGAUCCGUGAUUUUAAUCUUUUUUCUUUCCAAAAUUUCUUUUGGCCACUGUCUCCUGUAAGUACAAGCUACUAAAUAAAAGAGAUACCAAGAUGUAUAAUUUUAAGAAUUUUACUGCCCAUGAAAAAAAAAAAAACAUUCUAAUCCUAAGGGAAAAAAAUAUUAUAACCAUUAUCACUGUAUAUCAUAUAACUAUUCAUAUAGCUUUAACUAAUAAUUGCUCCUAGUUAAAGCUAUAUGAAUAGUUAUAUGAUAUACAGUGAUAAUGGUUAUAAUUUUUUUUUCCCCUUAGGAUUAUUUUUUUUUUUUUUUUGACUUUUCAAAUUACGCAUGUACCUUGUGAUCCAGUUGUGAAACUUGAUAUAUUGACAAGGAUCAGUCUAAAACGGAAUGAGCUAUUCCUAUUUUACUUUUGUGGUGUAAUCAUGACCAUUAAUUCAAGGAACUCACUUCAUUAACUGGACUUGUAUUGGAAUCACUUCAUUUAAUAAAAUCCACCCAAAACCCGAGAAUCAAUUCAAAUCAUGGCCUAGUUAAGAUUCCAAAAAAAAAAUUCAAUAAAAAAUGAAUUGUAAUUCAAGAAUUAAUAUAGAUACUCUACGUAGAAAAUUAAAAGUGGGAAUUUACACAAAGCAACCUAUAUAUAUUCUCGCUAUUAAACCAUCAAAUUAGAAAUGAAAGAAAAAAAUUCAAAGGACUGAGAAAAAACAAGCUACUUACUCAUCAUCGUCAGCACGGGCUCCCCCUUCUUCGCACUCAAGGUGAAGGAUGGACCCAUUCUGGAUUCCGUAGUGGGCCAAAGGUCUCUCAAUCUCCAGUAGUAGACGGCCAUUGAAAUAAGUAAAGGUUCCCAAUCUGACUGUAGCAGCUCAUGAGGAAGAAUAGUGAUUAACACAUCCUCGAUGGUGUGGGAUUUUUCCACCUCAAGCACAAAAUUUCCGUAAUUUUCUGACCGCACAAAGAUUUUCAUUACGCCGUCCCCGUUGGGUCUCCUGGAAGAGCUGGGGUUUGCAUUUCCUGCGGUCUUGGUUGUUUUUGUAGAACUAGCAAAGUUGCAAAUGUAAUGGACGUUACGUUAGCUUAUUUAAUUGUGGUAAUUGCCCUGCAAUCGUAACUGUAUGUAAAUUCAAAUUUAAUAUUUAAUUUAAUGCAUUUGAAUUUAAUCAUUAAUUGCAGUUGGAAUUGCAUGAAGAAGCCAAACUGUAGGUAAUAGUUGAAAGUAUCUCCAAAUUGGCUAUCGUACCAGCUGUACCAAUUGUAACAAUUGCAGAAAUUAACCUUUAGCAAGAGGUAAGUUUACCUCUCUAAUCACUGUUUUAAUAGAAAAAUAUUUUUGCUUUCUACGUCAGAGAUAAUUUUACCACUAUGUAUGUAAAAUAAUAAAAAUCUGGAAAAAUAUUUUUCAACUAUAUGCAAGGAAACAAAUUGUUUAUAGCUACAACAUUUUCUACUGCAUCAAAUCAAAUAAGAUGCUUAUAGCUAUAAUUGCUGUAUUUGAACUGCAUGCAUCGAUCUUUAGCUAUACUGUAUCUCAUUCAACCAAACAAAAAAAGCACUUUAAGUUACAUGUUAUACUAUUUGAUUCCAAUAUAUAUAGUGGUAGGAAACAAAAUGACAAUAGAGAUCCGUUGGGAUUCGAUCUCCUACUCUAACAAUGUGAUUAAUAGUAUAAAGUAAUAAUUUAUAUCUAAGAACUUAAACUGCUAUAUUCAACAAGGAUAAGCAGUGAUUUGAGAAAUAUGGUUACCUCAUAACUAAGGGAGGGAGCAGGGGCGGAGCCAUUGAGUGGCCCACAGUGGCCAUGACCCUCCCUAAAUUUUUAAAAAUUACAUAUAAGUCCUUUACAAUAAAAAUUAAAAUAUUAUAAAUUUUAAUUUUAGGGUGCCAAAUUAAUUUUUUUAAUAAAAUUUGUGUUUCAAUUUUUUUUUCAAAUUUUUUGGUCAUUUUUUUUUCAAUUUUUACAGUCUUGUUUCUCUUUAAGCAUAUUGUCAUUAUCAGUAAAUCUGACAAUUUUUUUUUUUAACUAUUCGAGGUCAAAUUUUUUUCUAUCAAAUCUAAAUCUUGGCCACCCCGAAUCUUAAUUUCUCACUUUGUUCCUGGGAGGAAGAGAUAGAGAAAAUACUAGGCCUUGUUUCACUUGGAGAAGCUUGGGUGGCUUAAAUAGAGAACUAAAACUAUUAGGAUCAGACCCUGGAAUAUUCAUUUUACCUAGUUGUCACUAGGGGUGGAAACGAGCCGAGCUUGAGCGAGCUUAUGUCAGCUCAAAUUCGGCUUGAAAUUAAUUCGAGCCUAAAUCUAGGCUCAAGCUAAGCUUGAAAUUAAUUCGAGCCCGAGCUCGAGCGAGCCUAAUUUCGAGUCGAGCCGAGCUCGAGUUCUAAACGAGCCGAUUGAAAUUCUCGACAUUAUAUAAUCAUAGUUUAAUUUUGAUAGAACAUUACCUACAAUUUGAUGUAACAUGUCCAAUAGUUCAAAAUACAAAAUAAUUGCAAGAAAUGUGAGCUAGGGUGACUGCCUGACUGGGUGAGGGUCUGAGAGAGAGAGAGAGAGAGAGGGGAAAAAAAUUAGGGAUUGAGAAUUGAAUGUUAUCAUGUUUUAGGGUUAUGUGCAACAGUAAAGUCGAAGAGAUAGUGGUUACGUAAAUUUAGAGUUUGGCUCAAUUCAUGGUUGUACUUGUUGGAUUUAUUUUAAUGGGCAAUAAUAAUGGCCCAAAUUAAAUUAAAGCCUAUAUAUAAUUAAAAUAUAAUAUAUAUAUAUAUAUUAUAUAUAUUAUUGAGCUUUUCGAGCUGUCGAGUCUAAUAUCGAUCGAGCCGAGUAAUACUCAAGCUCGGCUUGAAAUGAAUUUCGAGCAUUUUAUUUUGUUCAAGCUCGGCUCAUUUAAUUUCGAGUCGAGCUCGAGCGAGCCGAAUAUCGAGUUGAACACGAGUCGAACGCGAGCCGGCUCGCUCGUUUGCCAGCCCUAGUACUUCUCACCCCCACCAAAAAUAUACAGAGGGUAAUUAUUAAGAAACACGAAGAGCUAGCUAAUUAAUGAGACAAACGCGCGUCAACUUGCAGUAAAGUUUAAGAGGCUUCAAAUUUUUUUAUCCUCCAACUUGCAUGGUGGGAAAUUUUUAAUGAUAUAUGCCGUAGACUAUUGACGACUAGUCCCGAAAUUAACGCAUACUUUAAAUUGGCAUAGAAAAUGUGUUAAAUUCUUGAAUAGAAAGAGAACAUUGGGACUGCAUCCAAUGUUAAAUAAGGUGGAAUAAUUCAUUUUCUUUAAUUAAAGAGCUAAUGAUGUCACAGGCCCCAGUGCUAUUAGAAUCAUAUUCCAAGGUGUAAUUAGGUUCUUAAUCUCUUUUGCGUGAAAACUUAAUUGAAGUAAGUAGAAGGUUAGGUACUCAAUUGAAAAUCCGAUGAAAACAAAUCAAAUAUCUAGUUGCAAUAAGUGAAAUCGUAUUUAAUGUCGAAUAAUGUGAAAAAAUAUUUUCCUCUAAAAGCGUAAGUUACUAAGAACAAUGUUACUCGUGAAAGGUCAAAUAUCCAAUUGUGAACCAAUUGCAAUAAUUAGAUGGCGUUACUCGUGAAAGGUCAAAUAUCAAAUUGCGAACCAAUUGCAAUAAUUAGAUGGCUAGCUACGCACCGGAAAAAUAUUAGAGAUCUCCUAUGUAAUUUACCUUCAUGUUUAAUCUCUCUCCAGGGAAUUCAUAUACCUGUGCAUAAAAUCCUGCAAAUCCACUAUUCUAUGGGUAGCCUUAUCAUGUUGGAAUAAUCCACUAUUCAACUGCAUCGAGACGCGCAUAGAUGGAUGGAAGGCAAAACUCCUCUCACAAGGGGGGAGACUCAUCUUGGUCAACUCGAUACUUUCGAAUCUUCCGUUAUUUUACUUUGCAAUCUUCAAAGUACCGCAAUGGGUGCUGAAGAGAAUUGAAGCACUUAGAAGAUCCUUCUUUCGGAAAGGGUGUUUCAAAAUUUUGGGGGUUCAUGCCUCGUUGGUUGGAAAACGAUUUGUAGGAGCAAAAAAGAAGGAGGUCUAGGGAUAAAAGAUAUGGAAGCUAUGAAUAAGGCGCUUUUAGCAAAAUGGUGGUGGCAUUUCUUCAAUGAGAAUUGUCUGUUAUGGGGGAGGUUGAUCACUGCUUUAUAUUACACCAGAAGAAGGCCGUUACGCGAAGGCAGAUCCUUCAGAUCCUACUCUCAGUGGUGAAGAAGUAUGAUGAGCUGUUAAGACGUGUUCAAAAGCGGUGUUUCGUAUGUUCUCGACGAUGGGAAAAACAUCAGGUGGUGGUCGGAUAUUUGGAUCGAUGAAACCCCUCUUAGUCCCCGAUUUCCACGAAUCUUCAGCAGUAUCACAUAUCAGGAAGCCACGGCCGCACAAUGUUGGAACGAAAGAGGAUGGAGAUGGCGCGUCUUAACCAGAGGCUUUAAUACUCGUACCAAUGGUCAGAAUAGCCAACAGACGGCGUUGCUCAAAAACCUUUUCUCUCACUAUAGGCCAUCAGAUUCACAGGACAAACUAAGGUGGCGAUGGACCGCCAAUCAAAUUUUUACCGUCAAAUCAUUUUAUGAAUUCAUCACCGACGGAUGACAGAUUGAUACUUUGUACGAUCAACUAUGGGGGCUAAAAAUUCCGCUCAAACACAAACUUUUCAUUUGGUUUCUACUUCGUAAGAGAUUACCUACGGUAGACAGAUUGCUGCGCCGAGGGUGCAUUGUGGAUCAGCACUGCAGGUUCUAUAUGUUACUAGCCGAAACCGGUGACCACCUUUUCUGCGACUGUAUCGUUGUCAGAUUUCUUCGUUUGAAAGCAGGAGCCUUAGUUGAGGAGAAUUCGGAUGUAGGAGAUGUACGCCAGCUGUGGACACAGAUCUCGAACAUCCCCGAGGCCGUUACAAGAUCAAAAAUUUUAACCAAGUUGGCGGCAAUUUGGUGGGUUGUCUGGAUGGAGCGUAACGGCAUUUGCUUCCGCGACGUUCCCCUUAAUUUUUCCAGGGCUCUCGAAAGUGUCGCAAUUUUGAUCGAAGCCUGGAACGAAGCUCUUUGAAUCUCUCCCGGCCUCGGUGUUUUGCCCUCUGUGUCCCAUUUGUCUAUUUUAGUUUGAUCGUGUUGUUACGUACCUGACUCGGCGCAACCCGUCGAUGAUGAGAUUUCGCUGAGACGAAGGACGGCGUCGAGGAUGAUGAUGCACGUAACAGCUUGCCUCAGAUCUAGCGGAUCAUAAUUUGGGUACUCGGAUAAAGUAGAUGAGAAGAAUAGGAAGAAAGGGAAUAGAAGAGAUGAGAAGAGGUAGGGUCAAGAAGAGAGAUUAAGAGAAAUAAGAGAUGAUGAGAAAGAUGAAAUUUCAUUAAUUUCCUAACCUCAAUCUAUGUUACACGCUGCCUUUUAUUCGCUACAAUAAUGAAAAUAAAAUAAUGAAACCCUAACUCUAAGUGGGCUUCAAUCCUCCCUUCGCGGAUAUGAGUUACACCUCUGGGACUCCUCCGGAUGGCCUAGCGGAUCCAGACCUUCUCAUAACCGGAUUCACAGACUCUGAGGUUGCUUGUGGGCCUCUGCUGGGCUUGUUUGGGCCAAAACUGCAGGAUAGCGGGUAAACGGUUCACGGUUCCACUUAUCCGCACUAUCCACGACCGGCCGGGGCUUGGGUUCGCGUUUUGCCUCCGAUCCAUCAAUCUGCCCAUCCGACCCGCAAAGCUUCCAUCUUCCCCAAUCUUCGAUCAUCUCCUCCGCCUACUCCUUCCGACUUCCCACACUCCGAUGCCGCUCCUCCAUGGGCAUGGUUCCAGAAGGUUGAAGCUCACUAUCCUGUGGAUUGAAGCAAGGAAAAGCUAAGCCUCCUCUCCCUUGUACUCAUCCUACUAGACCUCCUCCCUAAUACUACUCCUAAUCCUCUUAUUGUGCUUGGCAGGCGUAACAAUCCCCCCCUCUUAACAUGAUCCUUGUCCUCAAGGAUCAAAAAAAGGAAACUGACUUUUAAGGAGCCAGUAAUCUUCCCAAGUUGCUUGUUCCGUCGGCAGAUUCGCCCACUUCACCCGCACUUCAGUUACAGUUCUGUGCCCAUGCUUCACCGAUCUCCUCUCCAAGAUCUCCUCAGGUUCCGCUCGCACUUCAUCCUCUUCCCCGAUUUCUGGAACCCUCGGUGACGCUUGAGCUGCUAUUGGGGGACUCUUCUUCAGAAGGGAAACAUGAAACACGGAGUGAAUCCUCGACCCUUCAGGUAAUUCCAAUCUAUAUGCGACAGGUCCGAUACGCUCCAGUAUCUUGAAAGGACCAAAAAAUCGCGCGGUAAGUUUCACAUUCCUCCUUAUGGCCACUGUGGUUUGCCGAUAAGGUUGUAAUUUAAGAUAAACCCAAUCUCCCACUGAAUAUUCUUUUUCUUUCCUGUGCUUAUCUGCUUGCUGCUUCAUCCUACUCUGAGCCACCUGUAAUCGAUCUCUUAAUUCCUUCGUCAAUCUUUCUCUCUCUGCUGCCCACCCUACGAAUUCCUGAGAGGUAGCUGUAUCUGUGGCGGCCACCAGGUAAUUCGGGGGAGAUUGCCCAUACAAAGCCUCAUAAGGGGUCAUUCCCAAUGCCGAGUGAAAGUUCGUAUUAUACCACCAUUCGGCUAACGCUAGCCACGCGUGCCAUUUCUUCGGAUGUUGGAAACACAGACAUCUCAAAUAAGUUUCCAAGCACCUGUUAACUCUCUCAGUUUGCCCGUCGGUUUCCGGAUGAUAAGAGGAACUCAUGUGUAGUUUGGUCCCCAGGGACUGGAACAGCUCCUUCCAAAACUGACUAACAAAUAUCUUAUCUCUAUCCGAAACGAUACUUUUCGGACACCCAUGAAGCUUGCAGAUUGUUCCCAUGAAAGCUUUAGCCACAUCUGCUGCGGAAAAAGGGUGUUUAAGUGAUAUGAAAUGUGCAUAUUUUGUAAGUCGGUCGACCACUACCAGGAUAGUAUCUCGUCCUUCUGAUUUGGGUAGAGAUUCGAUGAAAUCCAUGCUUAUAUCUUCCCAAAUUUUGUGAGGAAUAGGUAAAGGCUGCAAUAACCCAGUGUAUGGAGUGCCAUCCACCUUAUUUUGAGUGCACACAGUACAUCUUUUGACCCAAUCCUCCACGUCCCUUUUUAGUCCUGGCCAAAAGAAAUGUCGUUUGAUUCUUCUAUAGGUGUUUUGGAUACCUGAGUGACCCCCCAAAGCCGAGUCAUGCAUUUGACCUAGAAUGUUCUCCCUCAUUGGACCAAUGUUCCCGAUAUAUAAUCUCCCUUUAUAGCGCAGCAGUUCAUUGCCAUAAGAAUAAUGCCCUUGGGUGGUCGGAUGUAAAAUCAGCUCAUGUAUCAGUUUCUCACAAUGUUGGUCACCUUUGUAACUAUCCACGACCUCUCUGACCCACGCUGGAAUAGCCGCCGAUAUGGCCAACGUAACCCCCUCCUCUUCUCUCCGGGAUAACGCAUCAGCAACCACAUUCUCCUUACCUUUCUUAUAUUGAAUGAUAUAAUCUAACCCCAUCAGCUUAAGCAUGCCCUUCUGUUGCAUUGGCGUGGAAAUCCUUUGUUCCAAUAGAUGCUUCAAACUCUCGUGAUCCGUUUUAAUCACAAAAGUACCAGUGUUGAUGUAGUGUUUCCACUUUUGUACGGCCAUUAAUAUCGCUAGGAAUUCCUUUUCGUAUGUCGACAGCCCCAAAUGCUUAGUACCAAUGGCCUUGCUCAGAUACGCUAUGGGUCUUCCUUGUUGGGACAACACUGCCCCUAUUCCAGUCCCGCAAGCAUCAACUUCGAUAGUGAAAGGGUCUCCAAAUUUAGGCAUGGCGAGUACCGGAGCCUUCGUCAUGGCCCCCUUCAAUUCGUCGAAUGCUGUUUGAGCUUCUUCCUGCCACCCAAACUGAUCCUUCUUUAAUAACUCGGUCAAGGGUUUACUAAUCGUCCCAUACCCUUUAAUGAACUUCCUAUAAUACCCGGUGAGUCCGAGGAAUCCACGAAGUUCUUUGACUGAUUUUGGCACGGGCCAAUUGGUCAUCGCCUCGAUCUUUGAUGGGUCUGUCGCCACCCCAUCCUUGGAAAUGAUGUGACCUAAAUACUCCACCUUAUUUUGCCCAAAAUAGCAUUUACUCCGUUUAGCGUAGAAUUUAUUCUUCCGCAACUCCUCCAAGGUGGUACGCAGAUGUCUUACGUGAUCCUGUAAGCUUUCACUGUAAAUUAGAAUGUCAUCAAAAAAUACCAAUAUGAAUUUUCUAAGAUAAGGUUCAAAAGUAAAAUUCAUUAUGGCUUGGAAAGUGGCUGGGGCAUUUGUCAGACCGAACGGCAUGACUCGAAACUCAUAAUGCCCUUGAUGUGUGCGGAAAGCUGUUUUGGGAAUGUCAUCAGGACACAUCCUAAUCUGAUGGUAGCCCGAUCUGAGAUCUAUUUUAGAAAAAUACUUUGACCCUCCCAAUUCGUCUAGCAAAUCGUCGAUAAUAGGUAUUGGAAACUUGUCCUUCACCGUGCAUUUGUUAAGUUGCCGAUAAUCUAUACACAUUCUCCAGCUUCCAUCCUUUUUCUUGACCAAUAGGGCGGGAGAGGCGAAAGGACUAUUACUCCUCUGAAUUAUCUCAUGGCUUAAUAAUUCCUUUAUCUGCCUUUCAAUCUCCGCUUUCUGAUCGUACGAGUACCGAUAUGGUCUAACAUUAACUGGGGCCGUGUUGGGCUGUAGAGGGAUUUUAUGAUCCUGGACGCGGGGUGGUGGUAACUCUUUGGGCUCUUCAAACACAUCCUGGAACUCCUCUAGCACCUGUUGGAUCUCUGGGGCCAUGUUUAUUUCCUGUGCAAGUUCUUCUGAUACUGCUUGGUGCCUGAGAAGAUAACAUUCGCCUUUCUCUAUCUCCUGUCUCCAUUGGGCUGCAGAUAUUAAUCUUAGCUUAGCUCCUUCCUCCAUUCCUUUUAACUCUAGCUUCUGUCCAUCUUUAGUGAUUGCUACUGAGUUGGAUACGAAGUCGAAAGUCACCAAUCCAUAGGAUUUCAGCCAAUCAAUCCCAAGCACCAUGUUAGAUCCUUCGAUCAUAAUUACUCUCAAGUCGGUUCGAAAUGUGUGCCCUUGCAUAGUCCAAGUGAAACCUGGGCAUCUUAACUUACUCAAAACCUUGUGCCCGUUUGCUACGGUUACCGUCAAGGACGAAGCUGUUUCCAUUCGGGCUCCUAUAUCCUUGGCCACUUGUAGGUCGAUAAAACUAUGCGUGCUCCCCGUAUCUAUCAAGAUAGUAAGAGUUCGAUCGUUUGUGUUUCCGCAUAUCUUGAUGGUAUCUUGGGGUACUUCUCCACUUAAUGCAUGUACGGAAACCCCUAUCUCUUGCUGCUCUUCUCUGUCAGGUAUAAUUUCUGUCUCCUCUCCUUCUCUUCCGUUGACCGCCCUUUCGCUAUCCCCUGUUUGCAAAUACUCUUCAUCAUACACCUCCAAGAUGUUGUCAGUAGCUUGUAGGAUAUUCAGCGACUUGUUGGAACACACGUGUCCAGGAUGAUAUUUAUCCCCGCACCGGAAGCAUAACCCCGCAGCUCGGCGCUGCUCUAUUAACUGCUUGUUGAUCGGGUAUUGAUUUGCCGUGGUUUUGUUCUGACUCUGGUUCGAUUGCUUGUUCCCUUCCGAACUCCUAUACAGCGAGGUUGAUUGAUAGGUCCCCGCAGAUGUUCUGGGAACAUAUCUAUUCUUUCGAUUAAUCACAUUGAGAGCCCUUUCAUGUAACUGUGCUUGUUCGUAUGCUUCUUCCAGCGUGUUCGGGUGAGCGAUGUCGAGGAAGGGAAUUAAUUCUUCCUUGAGUCCAUUAAUGUAGCACGCAAUAAAAUAUUCUUCUGUUAAGUGGGGAUUGUAAUGAAGUAAUUGGAAUCUUAACUCUUCGAACCUUUCUUGAUAUUUCUCGCAUGUUCCCGUGUGUUUCAAGUUGCUGAAUUCUCGGAUCAGGUAUCUCUUCCCCCACUGCGCAAACCUUCGGCACACCGCUUCGGUAAAUUCAUCCCAAGACACUGUUUGUUUAUUAACAAAAUAACCUUGCUUCCAUGUUCUUGCCUUGCCUGUCAGGUGCAUCGUUGCUACACUCAACCAUUGAUGUUGAGGUAUUUGAUACAAUUCGAAAUAUUGCUCGCAAUUUUCGAUCCAAUUUCUGGGAUCCUCUCCGUCAAAAUACGGAAAAUCCAAUCGAGGGUACGGUAAGUGCUGAUGUUGAUUAAAAGUUCGAUGGCCCCACGGUGAGGCAUGCUCUUCCUCGGUAUCAUUCGUUCUAAACGGAGUGGGUAGAAUACCUUUACCUUUUUCUUCUCUGAUCAAUAACGGUGUGUUGCUACUUCCAGGCCGGAAUUUGCGGUCAGAAAAGGGCGCUUCGGCUUGAGUCUUGAGGGUCGGGGAUUGAGUGGUCAUAAGCUUCAGCAGCUCCUCAUGCCUCCUGUUUGCCUCGGUUUGUAGUAACUCAAACUGUUUUUGCCCUGUGUCCCUUACUUCGGUUAUUCGUUGGGUAAGUGCUUCUAUGUUGGCUUGAUGUUCCGUUCCCAACUGCUGGUACUUCUCUUCUAGUGAAUGGAUGUGAUCACUAAUAUCUCUUAGUCGGGUCCCUUCGGCCAUAUCUAUAUCCUCCAAAUACUCCUUUGGAUUGAAUUUAAACUUGUUGCCUCGCUUACCCCCAAUCUUGUCGUGUUGGUAGGGCUAGUUAUGGGGGUUUCUAUGAACGGAAGGAUCGUAACCCGGUAGUUGUAUGGUGAAUUCCUUUGUCCAACUCUGAUCCCAGUACAGAAUCGGCAGCGCGGAAUUCUUAUACGCGAUUAAACUCAACGAUGCUGAGAUCGGAGUUCGGGAGCGAUUUUACCACACAGGGCCCGGGGAUCGGAAGUUCUCUGAUACCAAUUGUUACGUACCUGACUCGGCGCAACCCGUCGAUGAUGAGAUUUCGCUGAGACGANUGGUGUGCACCGGGUCAACGAACAACCUCCCAGGAACCAAUGAAGCAUAAAUCUCAACUGCGUUUGCACACACGAAGUCGAGCCUUUAAGCACCCACUCGAUUAAGUUGUCAAAAGAAAUAAAAUGAAAAAACAAGAAUAAAAUUAUUGUGAAUGGAGAUUUAAACUCUUCAACUGUUUCCGUGUACUUCUGCAACCAACGCUAUGCACUUAUAUAGGCCACGAACAGGUGAUUCAUAAAGUGACUAUUCAGGAAAGGGUGUUUCGUGAAGUGACUAGUCAUGAAUAGGUGUUUUAUGAAGUGACAUUUUAAUUAUGACUUUUCAUUUGAUCAUAACUACCAAAUAGUUAUAUAAACCAAGUUCAAUGAACAUAAUCAUAAUCAUUGAUUUCAAUGGAUAUUUGUACGAAGAGACACACUAUAAAAAUGUGUCUUUUUAUGUCAUAUUCUUUCACUAAAAGUCAUAUUCGUUAAUUAGAGUUGCAUUUAUUCACUCAGGCUUGUAUCCAUUCACUAAAAAUUGCAUCCUUUCACUAAAAAUCGCAUCCAUUUACUAAAAAUCAAUAAAUAAAAUUUAUUACUUUAAAAUUUUCCUUACAACCAGUGUGAAGCAACUAGAGGCGUCCAUCGUAGAGCGUGAGAAAAAAAACUGAAAUUGUUGAAGCCAGGUAAUUAGCACUCGUCGAGGCACGCCGAUCUCAUCCCACAGCCUCCCUAAACAUCGUAUACCACACAGCACAGCACAGCACAGCACAGCAGCCGAACAGGAUCAGCUCUUUGGCCCUCGAAAAUUAUUCUGUUUCUUUCCAACCACAGGACCCACCAACCGGCAGCAAAAAUGGAGAACCCCUUCUUCUUUGUUGCGCCCUCCUUCGCUCUAAACAGUUCCCGGAACUCGCCGCCAGCUCCAAUCACAGGACCCAUCAGAUCAAAUAUUACAGUUGCAUGCGUACCCAACUAAAAAUUUCUAAUUAUAUAUAUCAAACUUAAAUUCAAAUUUGGAUCUAUAAUUUAAAUUUGAAUAUCGGUGCCAAUAUCUUUUUCUUUUUCUUUUUCUUUUUUUUUUUUGUCAAUCCUUCUGAAAUCAAGGAUUGUUUCCAUGUCCACUGUUGUAAAUUAUCCGAAGGAAAAUUAAUUUUCUUUGAAAUGAAAUCCUCUCAAAUCAAAUAAAGAUAAUAGAAAUCAGUUAUUCUAAUUCUAGAUUAGAUGAGCAUAAAUCUUACAUAUUUUCCAAUCCAGAGAUCAACAAUUUCACACUGGUAUAAUCACUUGAGCGUACAAGCAGAGCAUCCCCUGAGGCAAACUAAUUCCUAGGAUGGUAGUAAGGGAAGACGGUGUAGAAGGUCUGCAGGAAGGUGAAAACAAGAACGAAAACUGCUGCGAUCAAGGAAAGGAUGGCCCACGGGUUGCCGAAAUAGUCCCUGACCAGCUUCGCCCUCCACUUGGGCCAAUCGGAAUCGCAGUACUUCCUCACGUCCCGGAACAACCCGGCGAGGUAGUGCUUCUCGAAAUCCAUGGCGGCGCAGUCGGAGAGCUGGUUGAAGAACACCGCCAGCUCCUUGUCGCUCGCCAGCUUGUUCUCCAGGAUCCCGCUCUGGUGGAGUAUCGCGACGUCUGCCGGCGUGUCGAUGAUGCAGUCCAUGAACGUCGCGUAGCUCGUCAUGUACGCCUCCUCCGGCUUGCACCCGCCGCACUGCUCGAAUGCCACGAGGUUCGUGAACCGCGAUAACGUCGAGUUCUCCACCGAGAGGAAUGGGAUCUCGAGCACGCCGUCGUGAAAUGCGACGUCCAGGAACGAACCGGGAUGAUGCUGAUCACUCUCGUUCCUUUUCCUCUUCUCGCCCUUCCUCUUAAACGUCACUCCGGCCUCCUCGAGCUCGGUCGCGGACGGGAUCGUAUUCGGCGAUCGUUUCUUAUCCGCCGGCGCCUGCGAUCGGGAAAUCUUUAUUCGGAGAUAAGAGAGGAGGGAGGCGAAGAUCUUAGUCGGGUUUAACCAUUUGAGAAUAGUACCGCAGAUGGUACUGCCCCUCGGGUCAGUUUGUGGUUUCGGGAUGUAGCAGCGGUAGUAGAGAUGCAACAGGUGGUGGAAAUCUUUGGCUUCGCCGUGCACCGAAACGGCGGCGGAGACGCGACUGGCGAGCAUCUCUUCCUCGGGCCUCUCGACGUUUCUGCUCGCGAGGUAGUUCACGAGAAGCUCCAUCAGGGAGGGUAUCUCCUCGUCGUCCAUGGUGAACGUGACGAGCUCGAACAGCUUCUCGAGCACGAAGAGGGGGAUCUGGUUCUCGAGCAGGAGCAGGUCGCCGCGCACGAGCGGCAAGCUCCAUCCGGCGGUGCAGACGCUGUCGUCGUCCCCCUGGCUCCACUUGAUGAUGAACUCGAGGACGAAGCACCCGUCGAGGAGCAGCAUCUCCACGAACGCAUCGGCGCUGAGGUCGACGGGCUCGAAGUAGCACCGCCGCGCCCGAGGCUCCAGCACCCUGAUCUCGGCUAUGUAGUGAUCGAUGCAGUUGUAGGGGUUGCGGGAGAGGAAGUCCUGCAGGUAGCGCCACUUGUGCUGCUCCAUGGCGCGGAGGACGGGGCCGUCGCCGCGGCCGUAGGGGCCGACGGAGACCAUCCGGGGCUCGUAGAGGUGCGUGUUGCGCUGCCGGACGUGCGCCGGAACGCGGAAGAUGGUGAAGCUCUCCGGCGCCAUCGGGUUGCGGUGUAAGGCGUUGAUGUUCGACCUGACGGAGCUCAGCACGGCAUCCUCGAUGUCUACGGCGACCGCCUCUCCCUGAUCCUGUGCCAUCGCCGGCCGGCAGCUAUCCUGUGCAGUCAACGAUCGUCCUCGGUAUGUAACCUCCCUCCCUACAUUACCUGUUCCAGAUCCAGUCGGCCGGCACAAAGGGCAAUAAAUUAAGUCCUUCUAAAAAGAGUUGUUUUUCUUUCCCCUAAAAAGCUUGUAGGGGAAAUCGCACGAAAUUUAUUUGAACUGUUCCUUUUUAAAAUGUUACUAAUAUACUAUCUAAUUUUUAGUUUAUUUAAUUAUAAUUAAUUGAUAUUUUUUUAAACAUAUAGGUUAAACUAUAUUUGUGAGGCGUCACAGUGCUAUAGAGUAUGGAGUCGAUAAUAUUCUGCAAAAUUUACUGCUUUUUUAGGUAGGCAAAGCUUAUUCCUUUUCCUGUCUUUCCGGACGUUUCCCCAUCUCUCCUCAACUUCACUCGGCCUUCGGCCCACUACGCACCGCUCGGAUGCCAAGUAUAGAUUAAUUAUUUAUUAUAAUAAAUUUAUUAUUAGAAAAAUUAUAUAAAAUAUAUUAAAUAAAUUUAUAUACAUACAUAAUAUAUUUAAAUUUGAAAGUUAAAAUAUCGUUUGCUGACUCAAAUCAAAUAAAAUAAAAAAUUGUGUGACAAAAUCAAACUCUUGAAAAGAUUGAUUAACUAAAUUAAAAUAGUUCAUAGACUAGAUAAGUUUUUAUAUUAAUUUUUUAAGUAAAGUAUACGAAACUUAUCUGAACUAUAGAUUGUUUUGAGUUGGUUUACUCAACCUUUUAAAAUUUUAAUUUUACUAUCUAAUAUUUCAAUUUGUUUGAUUUUGAUUCAGCUAACAGUAUUUUGAUUUCAAAAUUUGAAUGUAUUAUUUAUUUUUAUAGGUUUAGUUAGUAUACUUUAUAUAAUUCGCACAAUUAUAAAUUUAUUAAAUUAAAUAGUUAGCUUAAAUUUUGAAGUCAAAAAAUCGUUGAUUGGCUCAAAUUAAGGAAAUUAAAAGAUUAGAUAGUAAAAUUUAAAAUUUAAAAAUUUAGAUAUUUGAUUUAAAAUAAUUUAUAAUUUAGAUAAAUUUUGUAUGCUUUUAUCUUUUUUUUUUAUACAUUUUUUUCAACCAAAAUGAAAGCAAGUAAAUGCCUAGAGUGUCAUUGUCCAUUGAUUGUGAGAAGUGGGCCUUAGAGAUGUGGGUUGGGUGAAUUUGAGCUGUCAACAAGUCCUUUUGAAUGUGGUCGAUAUUCAGAAUACUUAAAAUGAGUUGGAUUCUUUUUGCGGAUUUCAAGUUCUCCACCUGUUCGAGUCUUAAAUGAUUCAGUUCUAAUGAGAGAGGAGACAUCUUUUUCUUUACUAUCGGUGGUUUCAUGACCAUUGAUUCAAAGAAACUCGUGUUAACAGAUUUGAAUUGAAUCUUUCCAUUUGGAAUGAAUGAGAUUAUAUCGGAUUCACUUCUUUUAUUUUUUCCAAGAGGAAAUGGGUUUAGCCCCCAUUGGAUUCAUUUCACCAAAAGAGAAGUUAUAAGAAACAUAUACCACUAGAAUUCCAAUCUCAAGUUAUCGGAUUCAUAAAUAAAAUCCACACAAAUAUGGUGAAAUCAAUCCUAAUCAUGAAGGUUCUAAAAAAAGAAAUCAAUGAUAAUUGAAUUGGAAUUAAUAAAUUGAAGGUACUCUAUGUAGAAAGUGUAAAUUAACACAGAGCAACCUAUAUUCCAGCUACAGAAACAUCAAAUUUAAAUACAAAAAAAAUGAAGGACCAAGAAAGGGGUAGCUACGUAGACUAUAAUUUAUCAGUUUGUGCACUCAAGGUGAAGUAUGGACCCAUCUAUAAAAAAUUGUGUGAAAGAGAAUAGCUUUUUACAUAAGGCCAUGUUUGGUUCGACGUAAAAGUGGACCGAAAAAAAUUUUUCUCCGAAAAACAACUUUGUAGCGUGUUUGGUUGGAAGUAAAAAAUUUUUCUGGAAAAACUUAUUUUACAUAUGUUAGGAAAAACUUACUUUUCGUUUUCCGCAUAAGAGCCGCGGAAAACGAAAAGGCAGCGGCUAGCAAAACAGCAGUAGCCACAGAUACGAUUCUCAAUCAAAAAGGGCAAAAUGUAAUAUGUGUUUAUGAGCUAUCGAUCAAAAAGGCAAUUUCUGUGGGUUCAUGGUAGUGGUAUUUCUAGGACGAGGGGCCUGAAGUACAUAUUGUCUUUGCGUGAACGGCGGAUUAUGCUACAUUACAAAUACCUCGCCCUUUAUACGGGAGCAAGCUGUUGGCUGAAUAUUUUAUGUUACGGUCCCAAUGGUUGUGGACUGAGGUAGGUUGAAAAAAGAAUUUGUUUACAGCCUUGGGCAGACGAGUUCAGCAAAAUAUGAUCAUGCAUACCUUUUAGGUUUUAAUUAUAUAAUGAAGGGGGCGGGGGUGGGUAGCUACGAGUCAAUGCCUAGUCAAGUUUAUGGUCUUCUAGAAGUUGACUUAGCUACCGUCUCAAUUUUUGUUCUAGGAUUCUUCUUUUUUGUGGGGAAUUUUUUGGCAUGGGGAAGGGCACCGCGCAGCCUGCUGCAGGUUUUGAAAAAGAAUUGUCGAUUAUUUUGGAACACUUCAGGGGGUCAUUAGGAGGCAAAACAAUUGGCGGUCACGAGGCCAUUUGGCUCGUGGAACGGGUGGCGAGAUCGAGGGUCCACCGGGUUCAUGUGGACCUCCUUCAUUAUAUAUAUAUAGUAUAUAUAGUAUAUUAUUAUAUUAUAUAUACUAUAUAUAUAUAUAUUAUAGUAUUUUAUUAUAAAAUAUCUAUUUAUUAUAUAUAAUAAUGUAUUUUAUAAUUAAUAAUAGUAUGUAUAUAUAUGGAUUGUAUAAACUUGAAUUUAUUUUAAUAUUCUUAAAUAUAUAAUGGCCAUUUUGCAUAAAAUCCACGUUUUCUGGGCUUUUGGCAAAUAUCGGGCCACUUUUUAUUUUUGCAGAUUCCGGUCGCUAUUUAGACAAACUGACAAAAUUACGUUAUUACUUGUUUCUCUUUCUUUCUCUCUCUUUCUUGUUUCUCUCGUUCUUUUUUUCUACGGGGUAGAUGGAGCGGAAGUGGAGGCAGAAAUGGUGCGUCGGUUGACUCUGUGACCUUUCUGCUAGUGCCCUCGCCCGUUGCCCUCGUCCAUGCAACGACCCAUUUUCCCUCGACGGGUUAGGCCGCGCGCGUGAUUUUUUUUUUUUUGCUUUUUUCUUUCUUUUCCUCGACUCUUGUCCCAUGUGCUUCGACGACGACGCUCUCGUUUCCCGCCCUUUUCUCUCUCCUGCUAGCCUCUUUUCUGCGCCCUCGACGACGAUUUAUUUCGCAAGGCGGCCGGACGUCUGACACGUAGAGGUUAUUGCGGGCUACAGCUCGGAGCGGCGUCGAUUAGGGUGUCGGUCACCGGCUGACGAUAGCUCGUGGCAGGAGAAUGGGUGACAAAAAAUUUAUAGAAAAAAAAACAGAAAAAAAAAUAAAGAUAAAGAAAUUAUAGUAAAAGAAGGAUGAAGAUUGAAAUUACAUCGUUUAAUUAUUAAAAAAAUUAAAGCUUGCACUAUUUAAGAUGUAAGCUGCUGCUUUAAUGAUAUAAAAAUUUACUUUUGAAUGAAAAUUAGCUAUUUUUUAUUUAAACUGUAUCCUUGUUAAGUGUAUUUAUAAUAUUAUUUUUUGUUGCACUGUUUUUCUGGUUGUUACUUAUUGGUCCUUGUUUCACAGAAUGUUGCAACAAGAAGGGAAAGACAGGGCAACAGAGGAGAAGACAAGUAUAAAUAUCUUCUAAAAAGGGUACAGGUUUCCUCUUAUUGAUAGUGUUUCUUUUUCUUGUUACUUUUGCUAUUUGUUUACAGAAAUGGUGAAAGAGAGGAAACAGUGACAACAGAGAUAGAAACAGUAGUAUGAUCUCUUAAACAGUACGAGUUUUUUAUUUGAUAUUUUCCUUAUUUAACGAAAUGUGCAAAAGAGGAAAGAUAUAUAUCUCUCUAAACAGUGCCGUUUUUUCUUCUUUUGCAUUGUUUUCCUCUUGUUUUGCAUAUUUCUUUAUGUAACAGAGAAUGGUGCUAAUAAGAGGAGAACAGUAUAAAGUAUCUCUUAAAAGGUGUGCCAGUUUAAGAGAAAAAAUAGAAUUGUAACAGAGAAGAAAUGUGAACGAGAGGAGAAACGUGCAACUUUUUUUAAAGAGUGUAACUUAUUUAAUGGUAUGCAGUUUAUAUAUGAAAGGUGUAAAUAAGAAGAGAAACAAUGUAAAUAUUUCAAAGAGUGUAAUUUGUUUAGGGGUAUAGUUUUCAUUUAUAAGCAGUGCAGUUUACAGUCUUAAAGUGCCAGUUUAAUCGUUAAAUAGGUACAAGCUUAUAAAUUUUUUUGCAGUUAACGAUACAAUUUGAAUGUUAUCUUUCUUUUUAUAUAAUUUUUAUAUCUUUAUUUUUUUUAAGCAGUUUGUUUUUUCAGAUUUUUGUUGUCACCAUAUCUCUGGCAAAGACGGUGGUACGACACGCUAACAGGACCCUCUGCUCCUGAGCUGUAGCGCGCACAGGGGACUCCACGGUAUGAGGGUGGUCACGUCGCUGCGGCGAAGAUUGCAUCGUUAGUCGGGGCCACGGAGAGAAUGAGGAGAGGGAAACGAGAAGGGCGGGGAAAGACGAGGCAAGUGACGAGAGAGGCAUCGUGUCGACGAGAUGGUGGACGAAGAGUCUGCGAAAAGAAAAGAAAGAAAAAAGCAAAAAAAAUUAAAGUUGGUGGCGCGGCGCUUGCGGGGGUUGAGGCCGUAGGAAGGUGAGGGUGCUUGCUGUGGGCACGAGGGCAAAGGGCGGAAGGGGCGAUGGCGAGUAAGAGAAUGAUGGAGUGAGAGCGAGAGGUACUGUUUUCGGCUCCGCUUGCCGGCAGAGAAAGAAAAAGAACGAGAGAAACGAAAGAGAGAGGAAGAGGAAGGGAAAAGUAAAAGGUAUUUUGUGUCAGUUUGCCUGAAAAGUGGAGCGAAUCGUUAUUGCCGAUAAAACGAAAGAUGACAGGAUUUUGAAAAGUCAAAUAGUGUAGAUUUUUUUGCAAAUUGGCAUAAUUAAUUAUUGUAAAAUAUUUAUUUUAUUUUAAUAUAUUUUAAUCUAUAAUAAAAAUUUAUAAUAAUUUAUUUAAGAUAAUAAUGUAUUAUCUAUAAUAAUAUAUAAAAUAAAAAAUAUGAUUAAAUUAUUUUUAUUACUUUUUUUUUUUGCAAGCAAACAAUGUCAUGAAAAAUAAUUUUUUUUCUAAAAUCCAACACCAAACGAGUAAAACUUUUUCACGGAAAUUUUUUUUCAUCAAAAUUUUUUUUCAUGGCGUGGAACAAAACACUAAUUAACAAAAGGAAAUUCAAUAAGAAACUAAUGCUCAGUAUAUAAUCAAAUUCUAAAGUAGAUAUCUAAGAGCUUAACCGGUUGAAAUUAUUGAAUUAUUACUAGUAGCUUAUUUGUGAGUUAUUCACAAGAUAAUAGAUAGUAUGUUAACACAAUACACAUUUAACAACUAUACAUAUUUAAAUAAUGAGAAAUGAGAUAUAUGUGAAAAAUACCAAUAGUAUAUUGCAAGCUCCAUCAAGGGACGAAUGUUACCGAUAGUUCUAGUGAGCAUAGUGGCAAAGAGUGAGUGUUGUACCCGGACCCAAAUUCGAUUAUGAUUCAACUUCAGCUAAGUUUAGUUUCUAAUGAAAUUGAAACGAAGGGAGUAGCGUGUACAUAUCCUCUAAAAAAAGGUACGAGUAUUAUGCGAAUAAUGUUUAGAUCUUAUGAGUAGGGAAUAGAUAGAUUAAACAUGUGCUCUUUUUUCAAAACAAUUAGUCAUUUGAAAUACGAGUUUAUAUUUUGUAUGGCAAACAGAGAUUUCCAUAAUAUCACAUUAUGGGAUUGCUCUCGUUCGGUUAGAGGCCUCGCGUCGGAUUUUCUGUGUUAAAGGAGAGAAAGUUGAAUAAUUAGACUUAUACUAAAUCUUGAAAUUAGUAUGUAUGUCUUGAUAUAUUAUGGUCAAUUCACAUCUGGUAGCAAUUUAUAAUGAAUUUUAUCGAUCCAGGGUAAACUUUGGAUGAUUGCUGAUGACGGUUCAUAUAGAUGAUAUUAGGUCGAUAAAGUGAAACUCAGAAAAUGUAACAGAUGGAAACUACAGAGAAUAUGUGAAUAGCCGGUAGUGUAGAAGCCAGAGUGAGUUGUGUUUACUGCAAGGCCAUGUUGUUCAUUGAACUUGGCUACUAGAUGUUGCACCAAGAAUCUCUCCACCGUGUAGUAUAUUUUCUCCCUGACAUUUGAAAUUUUGCUGCCACAACAAGAUAAGCAUAUUUAUCAUGCUCUUUUUCCGUAUAUUGUAAAGGCUGAUUUGUAUUUAAUCUUUUUUUUUCCGGAAUUAAUUGUCGUCUUAUUAUAUAUUGUAAACAAAAGAAAACAAGUUACAUUUAAGAAAUUGUGCAAAGAAAGAAAGAAUUUCUGAUCUUAAGGAAAAAAUAAAUUUAAACAUCAUAUAUGAGAAGUUAGUUCUAAGUGGUUGCUGGAAUACCAAGUAGCCUUAUGUGACAUCAUAUAAAUGAAUUUUUGCUAGUAAAGGAAAGUAUGCCGCGCGGUAAUAUGUAAUGUUCUUUAGGAAAAUGAAACGCACUUGUUUUCGUUCUGUGUGAGGGACUAUUGAAAAAGAGCUGAUGUUGAUCAGUGUUAAGACGAGAAUGGAUUCGAGUAUGAUUCAAUCUAACAAAUAGUUGACUUUGACAUGAAGUAAGAUAUAAAUCUUUUUUUCAUUGAAGCUGGAGAUGAUGUUUUUAUGUUAUGUAGUAUAUAAGAAACUGAAGAUUUAAAAGUUAAGGUACGUUUGUGGUGAUAGGUGAAAAGCUCUUUGACUUCGAUUAUUGGCACCCUUCAGCAAGGGUAAAUGAAAAUUCAUCAACUGAUUUAUUGUUGCUUUUCACAGAGAAAAGAGAAGAAACAGAGUCGGUCAAUAUUAAAUUUGAUUUAGGGGGAAUUUGUAAAUAUUAUUUGAAGGAUGAGCAGGAAAACUUAGUUAGGAUACUACAUGACAUUGUUUUCAAUUCAACCCUGGAGAAUACUAGUUAAACAAAGUAAUUAGUCCCUUGUGAAUCCUUAGGGAUUUUGGUUCUGAGCUUCUAUGCAGGAUGCUCUCGCAGUACCAUUCACUAAUAACACGAGCAUAUGCUGUAACUAAUAAGGAUUGGGAGUACAAUAAAAAAAAAAAAAAAAAAAAAAAAAAAAAAAAAAAUUAAUUGUGAAUUUUUGUAUUGUAGUUGUUGCAGUGGUAAUUAGGUUAGUUACUUUGGGCGAACAACUUCGGAAGUCAAGUUUCUCCCAUCAAGGAGUUGAUCCGAUGAAGCGCUCAUUUAUCUGCUUCGCAAGAGAUUUUAAAAUUCGUAACAGGUUCUCUGUUGGAAUCCCUUCCUAUGAAACCUAACGAAAAUUGUCCUUCCAGCUUGUAUUCUGUAGGUUCAGUUUAGAAGUCAUGAUAUCAUGUAGUUACAUGUAUAGGGGGCGUAGAUGUCUGGAUAGGUAUGAGAAUAAUAUUUGUAGGUACAGAUUUAUUAUUAUCGAUGUCUUUAUUCGUAGGAAGUUGGUGGAUAUAUAAUUUAUAAUGAAAAUUUGAUAGUAAAUAUAUUAUGUACAUCUAUAUGCUUAUAAUAGUCAUUAUAUGACUAUAAUAUUAUAUAGAGUUGAGCUAGAAUACUUGUAAAAGUAUUAUGUGAGUGGUGCUUUUAAGUUUUUAGCCAUUGGAUGGAGAGAUGUGAGGUUGAGAUGAUGGUGGUAGGUGGUGGUAGGUGGAAUAGUGUUUGAUCCAAGGGCUAUUAGUAAUCAAUGAGUAGAUCCAAUGGCUAAAAACCUAAUAGCAUCAUGGGGGUAAUACUUGUAAAAGUACUCUAUAUGUAUAGGAUAGUUUUCUCCUGGUUUUCUUAUUGACUUCUCAAAUUACCGAUAUACCUUGUGAAACACGAUCGGCACGAACUACACUGAAGCAGAAGAGUGGUUCUCGAAUUACUCUGUAAUAUUUCAAUAGUCUCACAUCGGAUGAGAAUGGAGUUAGGAUUCGGUAUAUACAAGAUCAUGAACAUUAGUAAUAAUAAUUGAGUUUAAGAAUUUGAGCUAGUGUUUUAGGCCUAAUGAGUCAUGGUGGUUUCAUGACCAUUGAUUCAAGGAACUUAUGUUAACCGAUUUGAGUUAAUCCUUCCGGCCCUUUGGAAUGAAAUGAGAUUGUAUAGGAUUCACUUCUUUCUAUAUUUCUUUGAAAAGAGUGCUCAACCUACAAGAACUGUUUAUGAUAUUUAAGGUAGAAGGUAGAAUUCUUUAAAGAAAGAACUUCGAGUUAUUUAAAGUAAAAAACAAAAUUUAUAAAUAAAUGAAAUAAAGUAGGGAUCUAUGGAAUCAUUGCAAUUGAUGUUCGAUCCCUUUUCUUUUCUUUUCUUUUCUUUUUUUCUCAAGGAAAUGGGUUUAGCCUCGUUUACAUAUUGGAUUCACUUUCACCUACAGAAAAGUUGUAAGAAACUCGAACAGCUACAACUCCAACCUCAACUUAUCAGAUUCACCCAAAACAAGAGAAAUCAAUUUAAAUCAUGGCCUAGCUAGUUAAGAUUCCAAACAGAAAAAUCAGUGAUAAAUGAUUUGAAAUUCAAGAACAGUAGAUACUCUAAGCCAGAAAGUGGAAAUUUACACAAAGCAACCUAUAUUCCAGCUAUUAAAACAUCAAAUUAGGAAUAAAAAAUUAGACUGAGGAGAGGGAAGCUACGUACAUAUGGACCAAAUUGAGCUCGAAGACGUCAAGGUGAAGGAUGGACCCAUCCUCAAUGCUGUAGUCCGCCAGAGAUUUGGCCGUCUCAAGUAGACGAUGGCCAUUGAAAUAAAGCGCCCCAGGCCAUUUACCAAGAACAGUGAUUAACACAUCCUCGAUGGUGUUAGAGCUGUUCACCUCAAGCGCAUAAUUUCCAUAAUCUUCUGACUGCACAUAGAUUUUCAUUUCACCAUCCCCACUGGGUCUCAUAGAAGAGCUAGACUCUGCAUAUCCCUUGUUGGCUAUUUUUGUUGGACUAUCAAAGUUGCAUAUGUAAUGCACGUUAGUUUCUUUGUAAUAGAAUUUCACAUAGAUUGAUCCUAACAUAUUUCAGGCACCAGUACAUAUAUAACAAACAUUAAUAUUACUUCGGCAAAAAGGAAAAUUAAGUUACAAUUUCGAUGGCUUUUGCCACAUGUAAAACAGAUACAGGAUAAUUUGUUUAAAUUUUCUUCUUUCUUUUUUUUUUUUUUUCCUCUAGCCAUCUUAUCGAGCUGAUAUUCGGUUUCUGAUCGAAAUAAUCAAAAAAAUUCAAUUCAUUUGUUGGCUUCAUGACUAUUCAAUUCAUCACGAUGUUAAAGAAAGUAACAAUUCAAGAAACUCAUGCGAAGUAGACAUGUAGUUGAAUCUCUUUGCUUGCAACGAGAAUGUAAUUUCCAUCUUUAGGUAAGAUCUUUAAAUCUGGGACUAAAAUUAAUCAUAACCAAACUAAUUUAAAACGAACCAUACGAAAUCAAAAUCUAAGUUACUUAAUUCCAAACAAAAAGGGAACAAAAAGGGAAUAAGUGAUACUCAUAGGUGUGUGCCAACACCCGCGGCGUGCAGUUCAGAUGAAGCACGGAGCCGUGUUCGAUUCCGUAUUCGGCCAGGGUUUUCUGCUUCUGCAACUCCAGGUCAUUGAAAGAAAGCCGCGGCUCCGGCGCUCGGCCCGCCCUGUCGCUGCCGAGAAUCUUGACCAGCACGUCCACGACAGUGUUACGGCAGCACACUAGGAGAUGGUAGUUGUGGGUAGCGUCGGACUGCACAGUGAUCUUCAUCUCACUGGCGAACUGAUCAGGUUCCCCGGCGGAGUCCCACUUGGAGUUCCACAGUUCCGCGACGGAGGCCGGCAGCUCUGCAGUAUAUAAAUGACUAAACCAAUUAAGCAACAACAAUUGCAAUAUCAUGAUGUUCACAUGCAAACAUUUGGAUCAAUUAAUUACAGCGAGUCAAGUAUCACUGGCCACAGCAACUCCGAGACUGAGAGAGAAUUAAAGAGAGAUACACAAAAAAAAAAAAAGUAGCAAGAAGAGGGAGGAUUUAUAGAGAUAAGAGGACUUAGUGAGAAAGAAGAAGACUAGUUGUGACGUUCCAAGAAAUUGUUCGUACGGAUCUCACAAUGUGUGUGUAGUCGGGCCCGACGAAGACGCGUUUACUUGAUUCACUGUUAUUUCUCUCUCUUUUGAAGCUUCCCACCUAUUUCUUGAGUACUAUUUUUUUUUCUUUUCUUUUCUUUUCUUUUUUUUUUUUUUUUUUGAGGGAAAGAUUGCAAGCCAACAAAAACAACAAAAAUAGAGAGAAAAAGACAGCAACUCCGAGAGUGCUGACAUUCACUGCUAUUUCUCUCUCUUGAAGCUUCCCACCUCUUUCUCGUGUACUAUUUUUUUCUUUUUGUUUUUUUUUUUUUGAGAGAAAGAUAGCAAGCCAACAAAAAUAACAAAAAUAAAGAAAAAAAUACAGCAACUCCGAGAGAGCUGACAUUCACUGUUAUUUCUCUCUCUUGAAGCUUCCCACCUCUUUCUGAUGUACUACUUUUUUCUUUUCUUUUCUUUUCUUUUCUUUUUUUUUUUUGAGAGAGAAAGAUAGCAAGCCAACAUAAACAAUAAAAACAGAGAGAAAAAGACAGCUACUCCAAGAUAGCUGAUAUUCAUUGUUAUUUCUCUAUCUUGAAGCUUCCCACCUCUUUCUGGCGUACUACUUUUUUCUUUCCUUUUCUUUUCUUUUGAGAGAAAGAUAGCAAGCCAACAUAAACAACAAAAACAGAGAGAAAAAGACAGCUACUCCGAGAUAGCUGAUAUUCACUGUUAUUUCUCUAUCUUGAAGCUUCCCACCUCUUUCUGGCGUACUACUUUUUUCUUUUUUUUUCUUUUCUUUUGAGAGAAAGAUAGCAAGCCAAUGUAAACAACAAAAACAGAAAGAAAAAGACAGCUACUCCGAGAUAGCUGAUAUUCACUGUUAUUUUUCUAUCUUGAAGCUUCCCACCUCUUUCUAGCGUACUACUUUUUUCUUUUCUUUUCUUUUCUUUUUUUUGAGAAAAAUAUAGCAAGCCAAUAAAAACAACAAAAACAAAGAGAAAAAGACAGCUACUCCGAGAGAGCUGACAUUCACCGUUAUUUCUCUCUCUGAAAGUAGCAUGAGCUUGAGAACAGAGCGAGAAAAAAACGAAACAAAACAACAAAAACAGAGAGCAAAAUAAGAGUAGAUGAAAAGAGAGAAAUGAGAGAAGGAACAGGAGGAUAAAUUUACUUCUUUUUUUUUUAUUUUCAACAAGCGGUAGUCGUAGGUUGGAAUAAAUUUAGAUCGAGUCCACACGGAGGCGUAGGUUAGGAUAAAAUUAGAUGAGUCUGAAGUAGAAUUUGAUGGAAUGCAAAUAUGGAUGCCAAUAUGGGGACUCAUCUGUAAAAAAUUAGGAAUCUCCUAUUUAAUUUACCUUUUUCUAUAAUCUCUCUCCAGGAUACCCGAUCGCAUUAGAUGUUUUUGCACCAUACAUCCAAUUUUCUAUUUUUAUUAGGUUUUUCAACUUGAACCAUUCAUUUUGUGGCAGCAUGACGCACUUGACAAUGAUACUCUAAAAAAAAUUGUGAACUUUCGAUUCCUAACAACUUGGAAAAUCUUAGAUUAUGCUUAAUGGUGUGAAUUACUGAUUCAAAAGUUCUAUUAUCGAAAAUAAGACUAUAACACAAAAUGCUUUGUGCCGUUAAUAUAACGCUAGCUUAGCUUUAUGCUUUAAUUUUCAAAACUUUUGAGAGAAUUCACAUCUUCAAAGUCCACUAAUAAAAGAAGAAUUUUAAAAAUUCAUCAAGUAAAUUCAAGAUAUUAAUCAUUUUCCGGGACCAAGGGGCCAAUCCUCUCUUCAAAUAUAAAACAACGAAAGAAGAAACAAAUCCUUCACAUAACUAAGCUCCAUCAAAAUAAUUAACAAACAUUAAUUUAACUUGAAAACUUAGUAUAAAUCUUUUGCUUAUAUUAUUCUUUGAAGUGUGCCUCUUUAAUCAUGGUUACAAUAUGUGAACUAUGGUUUGUACAAUAUAUUUAUGAUAUAAUUUGAUAUAGUGCUAGCAACGUACCUUCUAAGUUACAAUCCAUUUGGAUGUAUGUGGUGGCUAACAAUCAUAAUAGGACCAUCAGAUAACAUCAAUCAAAUAGUAGGCACUAAGAUGAUGCACAAUUAAAUUAAUGAGAAAUGACAUUCAAUAUAAUUGAAAUCAUUCUCAUGUUUACUUUGUGUGCUUAAUAGUCAAGUAACAAAUUUUCAAAUAAUUGUUUGCUUUAUUACAGUUACAAUGCACAUUCAGAGUUUGUACAUGACAAUGAACAAAAUGUAUGAAAAUAUAGUAUUAUUCUCCUCCAAAAAGCUCUGCUUCGGGUUUUGCCUGCGCGAAUGCCAAAAUAGUUUGAAUCAAUUCAAGUAUGAAAAAGGAUCGAUAGUGUUUGAUAAAGAAUAAUAAUAAUAAUAAAUACGGGUAGUAUACCUUAAUAUAUCAAUUCCAUUCAUCAUCUGUAGCAAUUACUACGUGACGUUGGUAAUCCCACCUACGCGUUGGUUGUUGCUCGAUGUCGUUCACCAUUUCAUAUUCGGUUGUGUAAAAGCUCAACCGGUCUUUCAAAUCUUCAACUUCAUAAUUCGACGCUAUUGUCUUGCUGAAUCUAGCCACUGUAUAUGUUAUGCAAGGCAUCCAUUUUAAAGCCUUAACUGUCUCUCCCGCCAUUAUGCGCAUGUUUUACAAUCAAAUCAAGGAGUGCUUUGGGGUAGUUCUUCACCCAAAUUGCUAAAAGGUUGAUUUCCUCAUUUGAUAGUUCUCCCUUGUAGUACUAUUUUUGUCAGCUCUUUAUUCUGCAGGUGAAAUAAAACAACAAUAUCCUAGAAUACUUUUAAAUUAAAAUGACAGAGAAUAAUGAUGAUUGAAAAUAGUAGAAAAUCGUAAUCGUAGAACAUAGUUGUGGACGAUGUUUCCAUUGCAUGCACAAUGAUCUCCAUCUCACUGGCAAAGUCAAGUUCCACAACGGAGUCCGGCAGCUCUACACAAUCCUUCUCCACCAGCUCUAUAUGGACACAUUGUGUUCUUCAGAUAAUCACAUUCAAUUUAGAACAUCUAAUGACUCAACUGUGAAAUUAUUGCAGAAGCAUGAAUUAUAAGCUUACACUACAAUCUAAUAGUAGAUGCUAAUACAACACAAAUUUAAACAGAUAAGAAGUUGCAAGUGAAAAAUACAGCAUAACAAUGUUUGUCUCAGUCACGAGACAAGAUUAUUGUGAAAUUGUUGAGAUCUCCUAGGUAGAGAAUGAAGAGAUUACAACACUACUCUCUUCAAGAGAAGUCACCAAUUGGAAAUCACGAUAUUUUAUUUUUUUUUCUCGACAAACACAAUUUCAUAUAAAUUAAUAUGCGGUACUGCUCUC